AAUAGAUACCCGGGUAGUCCACGCCGUAAACGAUGAGUGCUAAGUGUUAGAGGGUUUCCGCCCUUUAGUGCUGCAGCUAACGCAUUAAGCACUCCGCCUGGGGAGUACGGCCGCAAGGCUGAAACUCAAAGGAAUUGACGGGGGCCCGCACAAGCGGUGGAGCAUGUGGUUUAAUUCGAAGCAACGCGAAGAACCUUACCAGGUCUUGACAUCCUCUGCCAACCCUAGAGAUAGGGUGUUCCCCUUCGGGGGACAGAGUGACAGGUGGUGCAUGGUUGUCGUCAGCUCGUGUCGUGAGAUGUUGGGUUAAGUCCCGCAACGAGCGCAACCCUUGAUCUUAGUUGCCAGCAUUUAGUUGGGCACUCUAAGGUGACUGCCGGUGACAAACCGGAGGAAGGUGGGGAUGACGUCAAAUCAUCAUGCCCCUUAUGACCUGGGCUACACACGUGCUACAAUGGAUGGUACAAAGAGCUGCGAACCCGCGAGGGUAAGCCAAUCUCAUAAAGCCAUUCUCAGUUCGGAUUGUAGG
RNAcentral lists this ribosomal RNA (529 nucleotides) under uncultured bacterium. Its description in RNAcentral is "bacterial SSU rRNA". It matches the Rfam family "Bacterial small subunit ribosomal RNA", at positions 777 to 1304 of the family's 1533-position model. The record is from RNAcentral.